Molecule: ribosomal RNA, 778 nt
Filed under: uncultured Streptococcaceae bacterium
Lineage: Bacteria; Bacillati; Bacillota; Bacilli; Lactobacillales; Streptococcaceae
Description: bacterial SSU rRNA
Rfam family: Bacterial small subunit ribosomal RNA
Source: RNAcentral
AGCUUGCUACACCAUAGACUGUGAGUUGCGAACGGGUGAGUAACGCGUAGGUAACCUGCCUAUUAGAGGGGGAUAACUAUUGGAAACGAUAGCUAAUACCGCAUAACAGUAUGUAACACAUGUUAGAUGCUUGAAAGAUGCAAUUGCAUCGCUAGUAGAUGGACCUGCGUUGUAUUAGCUAGUAGGUAGGGUAAAGGCCUACCUAGGCAACGAUACAUAGCCGACCUGAGAGGGUGAUCGGCCACACUGGGACUGAGACACGGCCCAGACUCCUACGGGAGGCAGCAGUAGGGAAUCUUCGGCAAUGGGGGGAACCCUGACCGAGCAACGCCGCGUGAGUGAAGAAGGUUUUCGGAUCGUAAAGCUCUGUUGUUAAGGAAGAACGAGUGUGAGAAUGGAAAGUUCAUACUGUGACGGUACUUAACCAGAAAGGGACGGCUAACUACGUGCCAGCAGCCGCGGUAAUACGUAGGUCCCGAGCGUUGUCCGGAUUUAUUGGGCGUAAAGCGAGCGCAGGCGGUUAGAAAAGUCUGAAGUGAAAGGCAGUGGCUCAACCAUUGUAGGCUUUGGAACCUGUUUAACUUGAGUGCAGAAGGGGAGAGUGGAAUUCCAUGUGUAGCGGUGAAAUGCGUAGAUAUAUGGAGGAACACCGGUGGCGAAAGCGGCUCUCUGGUCUGUAACUGACGCUGAGGCUCGAAAGCGUGGGGAGCGAACAGGAUUAGAUACCCUGGUAGUCCACGCCGUAAACGAUGAGUGCUAGGUGUUAGGUCCUUUCCGG